AUUCAGUUAAAAGUGAUCAUUUAGCAAUGAAUUUCUUCAAGAUCCUCACUCUGGCUAUCUUCCUAAUCGCCAUGGCAGGCGUUGGAGUUCAAGGCUGUGGAUCAAAUGAUCCGGGCUACAAACCGAGAUUCAAUCACGGAUUGUCAGAUUAUCCAAAUCUGUUAUCAUCUCUCUUCAACAUAUUCCAAGGACAACCUAAUAAAACGGAAGAAAAAAUGGGAUAAAAUGAAUGCAUUUCACGCCUUUCAGUCUUGAAUGAACACUUAACCGAGAAGUUAUAUAGAAAAA
Molecule: long non-coding RNA, 288 nt
Organism: Phlebotomus argentipes
Lineage: Eukaryota; Metazoa; Arthropoda; Insecta; Diptera; Psychodidae
Exons: 2
Source: RefSeq, a predicted model, not a curated record